UGUACUCACACUAGGCACGGUUGCCAUGAACCGGGCCCGAGUACGAUUGUCCCCCCUCCCCACUCCCCCUCUGGCCUGCACUCACAUAUAGGGUUUCAGCAUUCGUGCCGGAGCACGCUUACGUCAUUGUGGUGCGACGGUUUCGGGAUAAACAGGAAGAGCGGCGCUCUAUGAACACAAUGGAGUGCAUCGCUCUGUUUUCUUUGUGGAUAAUUUUGUGAUGUUUGGUCCACAGCCUGUUGUUAAACAGAUGUGUCGCCUUAGUGGCGCGAACAUUUUCACGUAAUCGUGCUGCUCGUAUGAGGAUGUUUGCAAGAUACCAGCUGAAGUGCAGCAAGGACUUUGCAGUUUUUAGUUUUUUUUAUGCGUUUUGCACCUCUGCCGUAGACCAAAGCGACCCUUUCCCUGCCAUGUUGGUUUUGGAGCAUCGCAAAACUGUGAUGCAAAGCGUCCUUUUCCGUGCCCCGGCACGGUUAGCGCUCACACUGCAUGCGAACCGCGCCCGAGUCCAACUGAACCGUGCCCUGGCCCACCUCUUCCAAGCGGGCCAGGGCCGGCCAAUCGAGCCGCGCCCGGGCACGAUUCGGAGCACUCACACUAGUCAAACGAACCGCGCUUUGGUGGUCAAACGCACUCGGGCACGGUUCAAACUGGCAGUGUGAGUACACCCUCAAUUUGUUUGAAUGUGUGGGCGGCGCUGAAACGCCCCUUUCAUCCCUUCUGUACUGCACCGACAAGCGGCAACCGGAAGCUCAGUUCAUCUUCACCAGGAGAGAAGCGGCAGACAGCAGAGUUUAUUAAUCCUGCGGAUUAUUUGCUAGUAGUGUGACUUGAAUCUUAGCAUCAGUUGUAGUGAUGGGAAGUUCGGAUCAUUUCACGAAUCGGACUUUUGAGUCUCGUUCAGCAAAAUGAACGAAUCUUUUUUCGAGUCAUUUCAAAUGAACGAACAACCAGAAGGUUCAGGAAGAAAAAAACAAAGUGCUUGCAGUCUGUUUCACAGGAGGCAUUUUGCUGCAUAAUCGAUCCACCACAAACCAUAUGCAACUAUGGAAGCUCAACUUCCAUUAAAUGGACAGUAAAAUAAAUAUGUGCAUGUUACAGACUGUCUGGGCAUGCACUUCCGCGUUUCAGAGAUCCGCUUUUUACUUUCCGUCAACAUUACAUUAAUUAACGUUUCGAAAAUUGAUUUUUGACAUUUGUGAAUCAAUCAAGAAUCGUCUGCUUAUGCAUUGCGAUACAUUUAAGAACUACUACCCCUAGAACCCCUACUAAAUAUAGUAUAUAAUGUAAAUGUAAAAAUCUGAAAUACAAAAUAAUAAUAAUAAUAAAUAAAAUGGUAUAGGUAUUAAUUACUAUUGUGAUAUUGAUUGUUAUAGGAGACACUUUGACAAGUGGGCACUGGAUGCUGAGUAUUGAAGGCGAGGUGGUGUGUGAGGGCACUCAGCCCAGUUUCCUGUCUGGCCUUGCCACUCUGUUUGCUGCUUAUUACUAGUUUAAUCUUGAGUACCAAGUAAAAGCAGUGUGUACCUUGGAGUUCAUUCAAAGGUGCUUUCUGGGCAUAAAUCCAGAGAGAGGAUCCAAAGCCAAGGCAAAAGUGCCAUCGAAAUAAAAACAGGACAAGUGAUACAGAAGAAAAUGUGUGGCAGUCAACCCACAUGUUGCCACUCUUCUGUGCAAAUUCCUAUGGAAUUUUUGAAAUUCACACUUUGAAUCCUGGGAUGGAACUUCAUCUGGAGCAUAAUUGUUAUUUGGUUGAUUUUUAUCUGUUUGAUGGAAAGUUUGUAUGACUUCUGCAAGUACGCAGCUCCAGUCAUGCAUCACUUUUUUUUGUAUGACUUGUUUGGCCAUAUUGGUCUAUUCUUUAAUGAUGAAAGCUAUCUGAAAAUGUCUUUGUGGUUUUUAAAGGAUUAGUUCACCCAAAAAUGAAAAUUAAGUCAAUAAUUACUUCUGUCGUUCCACACCCGUAAGAUCUUCGUUCAUCCUCACAACACACAUUAAGAUGUGGCUCAGGGAAGCCUGCAUUUCUAGCAAGAUCAUUUCUUUUUUCAAUGCCCAGAAAGCCUCUAAAACAUUUAAAACAAUUCAUGUGACUACAGUUGUUCAACCUAAAUAUUAUAAAGCGACGAGAAUACUUUUUUUGCCAACUUUUGUUUCAAAUCAUUUGCUCAGAACGUGUAUCAAACUGCAAAAGUCACAUGAACCAUUGAAAUUUCAAAACACUUAUGACGUAACGAAGCCUCAUUUACUGAAAUCAUGUGACUUUGGCAGUUUGAUAUGCUCUGAUUUGAACUGAAAGAUUAAUAAAGCUUUGAAGCUUCAUGAAGCAGUGUCAUCCAUCACGAGAUAUUGUUGAAUAGUCAUUAUUUUGUUUUUCAUAAACUGUUUUAAAUAUGUUUUUAGUACCUUUCUGGGCAUUGGAAAAGGAAAUGAUCUUGCUAGCAAUGUAGGCAUCACUGGGCCAUUAGGUUUUAUAAAAAAUAUCUUAAUGUGUGUUGUGAAGAUGAACAAAGGUCUAAAGGGUGUGGAAUGACAUGAGGGUGAGAAAUGACAGAAUUUUCACUUUUGGGUGAACUGCUUUAAUAUGACCAUGUUGGUCAUGUUUCGGUUAUAACUCAGUUUGAAUAUUUCUUUGUGUAUAGGUCCAUGAUGGCCAAUAUGUUCCAAGUAAUAAAAAAGAAAUCAUGUCAAAAUUUCAUAUCCAUUUAAAAAAAAAAUGAAAUAAUUUUAAAAUAAAUAAAAAUGAGUUCAAAAUAAAA
Molecule: long non-coding RNA, 2756 nt
Organism: Carassius gibelio (silver crucian carp)
Lineage: Eukaryota; Metazoa; Chordata; Actinopteri; Cypriniformes; Cyprinidae
Exons: 3
Source: RefSeq, a predicted model, not a curated record